UGAAUGAGUAGAGGAGCGAGGACGCAUUAGUAUUUUUCCGGAGAAAGGCAUCGAUGAUGGAAAGAGAAAGGGUGUCUCGCCGAAGCGUAAGUGAAUGCCAUAUUCACUAUGCUGAUCCCUUGUGUAAAUAACCUGGGGAUUGCCGUAGCAGAUUGUUACGGAGAGCUACCGUCAGG
This 176-nucleotide non-coding RNA is filed under the name Marininema halotolerans. RNAcentral describes it as "Lysine sequence". It matches the Rfam family "Lysine riboswitch aptamer". From Rfam's summary of the family: Riboswitches are metabolite binding domains within certain messenger RNAs that serve as precision sensors for their corresponding targets. The record is from RNAcentral. Lineage: Bacteria; Bacillati; Bacillota; Bacilli; Caryophanales; Thermoactinomycetaceae.